GGGGGAAAAGGGGGGCAUGCUAAGACAUGCAAGUCGAACGAGGUGUCCCAAUGAAAAUGAAGUACUUGUACGGAAGAGGAUUUGGAUUCACACCUAGUGGCGAACGGGUGAGUAACGGGUAGGCAACCUGCCCUCAAGACGGGGAUACCAGUUGGAAACGACUGUUAAUACCGGAUAGUAUACAAUAUCGCAUGGUAAUGUAUUUAAAGGAGCUUCGGCUUCACUUGAGGAUGGGCCUGCUUUGUAUUAGAUAGUUGGUGAGGUAAUGGCUCACCAAGUCAACGAUGCAUAGCCGAACUGAGAGGUUGAACGGCCACACUGGAACUGAGACACGGUCCAGACUCCUACGGGAGGCAGCAGUUAGGGAUAUUGGGCAAUGGAGGAAACUCUGACCCAGCAAUGCCGCGUGAGUGAAGAAGUAUUUCGGUAUGUAAAACUCUGUUGUAUGGGAGGAAAGAACUAGUAGGAAAUGGCUAGGAGAUGACUGUACCAUACGAGAAAGUCACGGCUAACUACGUGCCAGCAGCCGCGGUAAUACGUAGGUGGCAAGCGUUAUCCGGAAUUAUUGGGCGUAAAGGGUGCGUAGGUGGCAUGUUAAGUCUGGUGUAAAAGGCAAUAGCUCAACUAUUGUAUGCAUUGGAAACUGGCAAGCUAGAGUGUGUGAGAGGUAAGUGGAAUUCCAAGUGUAGCGGUGGAAUGCGUAGAUAUUUGGAGGAACACCAGUGGCGAAGGCGGCUUACUGGCACACAACUGACACUGAGGCACGACAGCGUGGGGAGCAAAUAGGAUUAGAUACCCUAGUAGUCCACGCCGUAAACGAUGAGCGCUAAGUGUUGGCCAUUAGUUUGGUCAGUGCUGAAGCAAACGCAUUAAGCGCUCCGCCUGAGGAGUACGGUCGCAAGGCUGAAACUCAAAGGAAUUGACGGGUCCCCGCACAAGCGGUGGAGCAUGUGGUUUAAUUCGAAGAUACGCGAAGAACCUUACCUACACUUGACAUCCCUCUGACAGAUAUAGAGAUAUAUUUUUUCUUCGGACAGAGGUGACAAGGUGGUGCAUGGGUUGUCGUCCAGCUCCUGUCCUGGAAAUGUUGGGGUUAAGUCCCGCAACCAAGCGCAACCCCUUAUUAUUAAGUUGCUAACAUUUAAGUUUAAGGACUCUUAGUCAGAA
This 1167-nucleotide ribosomal RNA is filed under the name uncultured bacterium. RNAcentral describes it as "bacterial SSU rRNA". It matches the Rfam family "Bacterial small subunit ribosomal RNA", at positions 26 to 1149 of the family's 1533-position model. The record is from RNAcentral.